UACGUAGGGGGCUAGCGUUAUCCGGAAUUACUGGGCGUAAAGGGUGCGUAGGUGGCCCAACAAGUCAGAGGUGAAAGGCUACGGCUCAACCGUAGUAAGCCUUUGAAACUGUAGGGCUUGAGUGCAGGAGAGGAAAGUAGAAUUCCCAGUGUAGCGGUGAAAUGCGUAGAUAUUGGGAGGAAUACCAGUUGCGAAGGCGGCUUUCUGGACUGUAACUGACACUGAGGCACGAAAGCGUGGGGAGCGAACAGGAUUAGAUACCCUUGUAGU
Molecule: ribosomal RNA, 270 nt
Filed under: uncultured bacterium
Lineage: Bacteria
Description: partial 16S ribosomal RNA
Rfam family: Bacterial small subunit ribosomal RNA
Source: RNAcentral